RNAcentral lists this ribosomal RNA (431 nucleotides) under uncultured prokaryote. RNAcentral's name for it is "partial 16S ribosomal RNA". The record is from RNAcentral.
CCCUAUGGGGUGCAGCAGGGGUAUCAGGGCAAGGUGCAGUUUUUGCUGCCAUUGUGCUUACUGGAUACGGAACGUACCGACCUUGCCAUGACGCUGACGCCCAUGGACGGCUAUUAUCUCGGCCAUACCUGCCUGACGCUGGAGAUGGCUUAUUUAAACGCGCGGCUGAUCGGCAGGCCGGUCGCUCCCUGGCUACUGGAACUCGUGACCUGAUCUUCCGGCUGCCGCCCUCCGGGGUUAAGGAUAAGCAAAACCCAACUGAAUAGGGCCUGGCGGGCGGCGCUUUUUGUGCCGUGCGCCGGGUCCUUUUUUUCGUGCGCUCAAAAAUGCGCCGAUUGUCUGGCUCUGAACGAAAGGAGCCGGACAAAUGGAACUGGUCAAAAUCACGUAUCGCUUUGCGGAUGGGCACGUCGAGGAAUUGGCGGGGGAGC